UACCUGCUUUGACCACUUUUCUUCCA
Molecule: non-coding RNA, 26 nt
Filed under: Mus musculus (house mouse)
Lineage: Eukaryota; Metazoa; Chordata; Mammalia; Rodentia; Muridae
Source: RNAcentral